UCCAAGGCUAAAUACUCCUGACUGACCGAUAGUGAACCAGUACCGUGAGGGAAAGGCGAAAAGAACCCCGGCGAGGGGAGUGAAAAAGAACCUGAAACCGUGUACGUACAAGCAGUGGGAGCACCUUCGGGUGUGACUGCGUACCUUUUGUAUAAUGGGUCAGCGACUUAUAUUCUGUAGCAAGGUUAACCGUAUAGGGGAGCCGCAGGGAAACCGAGUCUUAACUGGGCGUUAAGUUGCAGGGUAUAGACCCGAA
This 256-nucleotide ribosomal RNA is filed under the name Klebsiella aerogenes. Its description in RNAcentral is "partial 23S ribosomal RNA". It matches the Rfam family "Bacterial large subunit ribosomal RNA", at positions 459 to 719 of the family's 2925-position model. RNAcentral also lists the same sequence under 3 other names. The record is from RNAcentral. Lineage: Bacteria; Pseudomonadati; Pseudomonadota; Gammaproteobacteria; Enterobacterales; Enterobacteriaceae.